CCUACGGGAGGCAGCAGUGAGGAAUAUUGGUCAAUGGACGAGAGUCUGAACCAGCCAAGUAGCGUGAAGGAUGACUGCCCUAUGGGUUGUAAACUUCUUUUAUAUGGGAAUAAAAUGUUCCACGUGUGGGAUUUUGUAUGUACCAUAUGAAUAAGGAUCGGCUAACUCCGUGCCAGCAGCCGCGGUAAUACGGAGGAUCCGAGCGUUAUGCGGAUUUAUUGGGUUUAAAGGGAGCGUAGGUGGAUUGUUAAGUGAGUUGUGAAAGUUUGCGGCUCAACCGUAAAAUUGCAGUUGAAACUGGCAGUCUUGAGUACAGUAGAGGUGGGCGGAAUUCGUGGUGUAGCGGUGAAAUGCUUAGAUAUCACGAAGAACUCCGAUUGCGAAGGCAGUUCACUGGACUGCAACUGACACUGAGGCUCGAAAGUGUGGGUAUCAAACAGGAUUAGAUACCCCUGUAGUC
RNAcentral lists this ribosomal RNA (460 nucleotides) under uncultured bacterium. RNAcentral's name for it is "partial 16S ribosomal RNA". It matches the Rfam family "Bacterial small subunit ribosomal RNA", at positions 338 to 795 of the family's 1533-position model. The record is from RNAcentral.